UAUAAUAACAGAGUGUAAGGCAGGCAGAUGUGGGAAAUUGGCUUUUCAUACAGACAUGGCAUUUCAGGACCACCACCACCACCACCACCACAACCACCAGCAUCUAUCCCAAGAAAUGCCCCUCCACCAUCCCCACUACUCCGACAACCACGCCUCCGUCUUCCGCUCCCUCCUCCCCGAUCACCACCUCUCCCCCGACGACAAACCGUCGCAAGCACCACCACCAACAACCACCACCACCGCGUGGCUCAACCACCACCACCACCACCAGUGGCUCCCCACCCAAAGUCAACUCAGCCCAACCACCCCACCGGACAACAACAACAACAACAACAACGAUCACCUCCACCACGACAGCGGCGCCGCCGGAGAUAAGAGCAACAGCAGCGGCGGCGGCGGCGGCAGCAGCACGAACUGGGAGAGAGAGAAAUACAAGGCGGAUAUUCUGAGCCACCCACUUUACGAGCAGCUGCUGUCGGCCCACGUGUCCUGCCUCCGCAUAGCUACUCCGGUGGACCAGCUGCCGAGGAUCGACGCCCAGCUGGCGCAGUCGCAGCAGGUGGUGGCUAAGUCUCCGUUCUCGGACACGGUCAACACCCCCUCGACGAUGAAGACCUCGACCAUUUCAUGACGCAUUAUGUUUUAUUACUGUCCUCGUUCAAAGAACAACUGCAACAACACGUCCGAGUUCAUGCAAUGGAAGCAGUCAUGGCUUGUUGGGAGCUUGAGCAAUCGUUACAAAGCUUAACAGGGGUAGCACCGGGUGAAGGUACAGGGGCAACGAUGUCCGAUGACGACGAGGAUCAAGCAGACAGUGAAACAAACCUGUUCGAUGAAAGUCUCGACGGAGGAGACAACAUGGGAUUUGGUCCCUUAGUACCCACUGAAACCGAGAGGUCUUUGAUGGAACGAGUCAGGCUAGAACUUAAACACGAGCUUAAACAGGGUUAUAAGGAGAAGAUUGUGGAUAUCAGAGAAGAGAUACUACGAAAAAGACGAGCGGGGAAACUACCUGGAGAUACUACUUCUGUCUUGAAAUCUUGGUGGCAAUCGCAUUCGAAAUGGCCUUAUCCAACCGAGGAAGAUAAGGCGAGGCUCGUGCAAGAAACAGGGUUGCAACUGAAACAGAUAAACAAUUGGUUCAUUAAUCAAAGGAAACGGAAUUGGCAUAGCAAUCCUUCUUCGUCUACUCCGAAAAGCAAGCGCAAAAGUGGUGCAGGUGACAAAACGGGAAAUGAACGUUUUGCAUGAAGAAAAAGGGUAUCAGAUUCGAGCAAAUAUACGGGUGAAGAAUGGGACGGACGACGAAAUAGAAGAUUAUCAGUGUUAGCUGCUUUUAAGGUAGUUCUUGAAAUUGGCUGGGGGCUUUGUUGAGUAAGAAUAUUUAGUUAGAAGCCAAUUUAAAAGGACUUAAUAUAUGAUUUGGACACCUGAAAACAUAUCAAAAGCUACUGUAAUAUUUUAAUUGUGGUGUUAAUUAAAUAUCAACAUGAGUAUAUGAGCAGAAUCCAAUUAGUAGUAGUUUUUUUUUUUUUCUU
Non-coding RNA from Erythranthe guttata (spotted monkey flower), 1538 nucleotides. NCBI's taxonomy places the organism in Eukaryota, Viridiplantae, Streptophyta, Magnoliopsida, Lamiales, Phrymaceae. The record is from RefSeq and is a predicted model, not a curated record.